RNAcentral lists this ribosomal RNA (269 nucleotides) under uncultured bacterium. Its description in RNAcentral is "partial 16S ribosomal RNA". It matches the Rfam family "Bacterial small subunit ribosomal RNA", at positions 524 to 794 of the family's 1533-position model. The record is from RNAcentral.
GACAGAGGUGCCGAGCGUUAGGCGGAAUCACUGGGCUUAAAGCGUGUGUAGGUGGAUGCCUAAGUACCUUGUGAAAUCCCACGGCUUAACCGUGGAACUGCUUGGUAUACUGGGUGUCUUGAGCCAGCUAGGGGCUACCGGAACAAAUGGUGGAGCGGUGAAAUGCGUAGAUAUCAUUUGGAACGCCAAUGGUGAAAACAGGUAGCUGGGGCUGUGCUGACACUGAGACACGAAAGCCAGGGGAGCGAACGGGAUUAGAACCGACGUGU